GGACUAAAAGUGUCAAAAAGUGCACAAGUUUGCACUUUUGCGCAUAUCUCGCGUUCUGAAUAUCCCCGGACACCCAAAAAUUUAUGUAAGCACUAAAAUAUUUUAUUUUAGUGUGUGGCAUGAUAAAAUUCCAUUCGUCGCGUAAUUUGGAUCGUUUUUAGCGUCCGUCCGUGUUUCGUCGUAAUUAGCCGAACAACGGGACCGUACGACCAAACGAACCGACAUCCGGCAUAUUUUUGAGCAUGUUUCAUGUUCCCUAUGCUUAGGCAUCUUUGUAGAGCCUUAAAAAUGGUUUAACGGGUCUUGGAUGUGUCGGAAAUGGCAUUUGGGGGUGUAGGGGCCAAAACUGUCAACUAAUGAAAGUGGCCAUGUGCAGACCUGGUCCUUACGGACCGUAUGCUAUGGACCUUACGGUUCGUAAAGCCCCUCCAGAUCAGCAGAAAGCUGUUUCCAGCUGUUCCAGCUGUUUGUGAGUGUGCAAAUGGUUUUCUAAGCAAUCUAUGGGCUCCCAUGGUAUUGUAAAUCAGUGGGUAAGAGGUGUACGAUCAAGAUCAAAGCUCGUUUAUCGAUAAACGAUCUUAACGGUUCCGAAAAACCUAUAAAUACCCACCUCAACUUCCCCCAAACUCACACCUUGAUCUUGAAUUCUCUAAGUUGGAGACUUUGCUCUUCAUACCUAAGAAUUUAGGAUCAACCCUCCUUGCUUGGACCCUUUGUAAGUGUCCCCUUUCAUGCUUAGAGAAUAUCUUAAGAUCAGAAUUCCAGUAUUGACCUUUUAAGCAUAUGUGAAAUUACCAAAACGCCCCUACGGAGUCUAGGAGGAUUAAGAUUGAUAAAUUUCACAUAAGGACUUAUACCCUACUGUUAUAACUUGGUAAAAUGAGUAGGUUUACUGAUUUAAUCAGACCUGUAACUCAGGUUAUUAUUUAAACCCUUUUACACCCUUUAAAAUGACCAAAAUGCCCUUAUGAGGCAUAAAUUGGGUUUAAAACCAUUUGGGGCAUAAUGGAAGGUAUCAUUCUGAUAUCACAACAUGUUUAAGGCAUAUUAACUUAGGAAACUUGUAUUUGACUCUUAUGGUUGCUCGUUACGCACUUUAUGCGUUCGGAUCGGCGUAGGUAACUAGUUUACCCAUUAUAGCCGAAACGGGUCAAACCAUAUCUUUUCGGUCUCAAAAUCCAGAAUGUGAUUAAGUUACCCAUAUUAAACAAGUAUGCAAGCUUGUUGGGUCAAAACCACAUUCUAAGACGGUCUUCGCCUUAUCGUGCGUUUAAACCGUAAUCUUCAU
Molecule: long non-coding RNA, 1288 nt
Filed under: Helianthus annuus (common sunflower)
Lineage: Eukaryota; Viridiplantae; Streptophyta; Magnoliopsida; Asterales; Asteraceae
Source: RNAcentral